UUAUCAGUCCACGUGUUGACAUGUCUUUAUUUCAUGAAAUAUGAAACACUGAAUCUGUAAAUUUGUUCGCAUGAUUGUUGUCAUCGGACUUAUUGACUUAUGCUCAUGAAAAAGACAUUAUUCUUGACUUCUGCUUUCAAACCGUGAAUGUAAUACGUGGAGGUGAUAUAAUUCACAAAAUUCACGGUCGUAAUGGCCCUCUGAGGGAAACCAUCACCACAAUUUGGCCCGCGACUAAAAUUGGUUUGACACCCCUGCUGAGUAGAACCAUGCAAAUCGUCCCCCCCCACCCAGAAAAAAGUAAUAACAAUGAACUUAUUGUACGUGUAUGACUAUUAUAAUUUUAAAUACAGUAUGUUUCCAAUAGUUUCGCAGCAGUGGGUAGAAGCAGUUCACGUGUAUUGUCGAAUUGACAGGAAGUAGUUUUGGCCACCGGAUCUGACUUCCCAGUGCUCCAUUAUGCUCCAUUAAUGAGUCAGAGCCUUCAGGAGUGCACUCUUAAAAAAAAAAAAAGCUGCUGAAACGUUUAAGCGAGAGGUCUCACAGCAGGUAGCGGACAGUUGUCGCUUGUGAACCUUCUCAUUUUCAUAAUUACCCUUUUCCAAAUGAAUAACCUUGAUCUACUCGGGGAAGUGAUUUGAGUGCGCUGACAAUAAGGAGGUGAAAAUGACCUUCUCUGAAAGCUUUAGGGCGACCCGGGAUCCCAGGCCAAAGUUGGGGGGGGGCAGAAGAAGCAGAAAUGGGAAAUACAUCAGUGUCUAAUUGAGCUUGGUAGAUAGGGAGAGAGAUUUAUUUUUUCAAAUCAAAAAAAGGCCCCCCCCCCCAUAUCCCAGUCAUGUAGUCGGCGAGGAGGAAUGCUGAGCUCACAAGCAUUCCUUCUUUACCACAGCAUCCCAUAUUAUUAACAAUAGGGGCUAUUCAUCUUCCUUCUGGCAGCAUGUGAGGGGUGGGUGGUGUGGUAUACAGAACGAAGGAGAGGGGGGGGGCAGAACAAGGAAGAGAGCUACUGUAUGGUUCCACUUUCUUGAACAAUACAGAUGGAGAGGGACUGUGGCAUUCAGGUUGUCCCGCAUCCAACGUUUUCGUAUCAUGCCCGUUGUGGCUGAUGUCAGUAAGUGACGCAGCCUAUAGCGCAAUGCUAACUUGGGGUGUUAUCUGGUUGACGAUCCAAAAAGAUGGCAAGUUAGGAAGUUUACAAGACGCGCUGGUGUUCUGGUUCGAAUAUACGCAAUACAGUAAGGGACAGUCAACCAGUCAUACUCUGAGUCACAAUCUUACAUAACCCAUUUUAAACAUCCAAAAUAUCAGCAGACAUGUAUGAUCCGGUGCCCACUUGACAUCUCUGUGAUUUUCCCAAGCUAACACUCUCAUUCGCCUGUAGCUUGCAGUUCCUCUGAGACCGACCGACUUUAGCUGGUGCGCUACUCAAAUCAGUGACUUCUUCUGCCAUGUCAAGGUCAAGGACGAUCAAGGACGAUUCUCCCUUGCGAUAUUUGAAAGGAUGAGAGGGUCCGCUUUAUCUGGCUGUCAAUCAAGUCGGCUGUGUUCACGCCCACAAUGUUGCAAAAACUCCUUUAAUGCUUAAAUGCAGCACGCGGGGGCGACCCGGUAGUCCGGUGGCACAGUCACAGUGCAGAGGUACCGGGUUCGAUUCCAGCUCCGGCCUCCCUGUGUGGAGUUUGCAUGCUCUCCCCGGGCCUGCGUGGGUUUUCUCCGGGUGCUCCGGUUUCCCCCCCCA
Long non-coding RNA from Hippocampus zosterae (dwarf seahorse), 1738 nucleotides. RefSeq lists it as uncharacterized. The transcript has 2 exons. NCBI's taxonomy places the organism in Eukaryota, Metazoa, Chordata, Actinopteri, Syngnathiformes, Syngnathidae. The record is from RefSeq and is a predicted model, not a curated record.